RNAcentral lists this ribosomal RNA (251 nucleotides) under uncultured bacterium. RNAcentral's name for it is "partial 16S ribosomal RNA". It matches the Rfam family "Bacterial small subunit ribosomal RNA", at positions 57 to 305 of the family's 1533-position model. The record is from RNAcentral.
GCAAGUCGAACGGGAUUAGUUGUAUUUAUAUGACUAUGAGAGUGGCGCACGGGUGCGUAACACGUAUACAAUCUGCCCCUAACUGGAGAAUAGCCCGGCGAAAGUCGGAUUAAUACUCCAUAAUAUUGCGAGAUGGCAUUAUCUUGUUAUUAAAGUUUUAACGGUUAGGGAUGAGUAUGCGCAACAUUAGCUAGUUGGAGAGGUAAAAGCUCACCAAGGCUACGAUGUUUAGGGGGUCUGAGAGGAUUUUC